Molecule: ribosomal RNA, 301 nt
Filed under: uncultured bacterium
Lineage: Bacteria
Description: partial 16S ribosomal RNA
Rfam family: Bacterial small subunit ribosomal RNA
Source: RNAcentral
CAGCCGCCGCGGUAAUACAGAGGGUGCGAGCGUUAAUCGGAUUUACUGGGCGUAAAGCGUGCGUAGGCGGCUUCUUAAGUCGGAUGUGAAAUCCCUGAGCUUAACUUAGGAAUUGCAUUCGAUACUGGGAAGCUAGAGUAUGGGAGAGGAUGGUAGAAUUCCAGGUGUAGCGGUGAAAUGCGUAGAGAUCUGGAGGAAUACCGAUGGCGAAGGCAGCCAUCUGGCCUAAUACUGACGCUGAGGUACGAAAGCAUGGGGAGCAAACAAGAUUAGAUACCCCUGUAGUCCCUGUCUCUUAUAC